RNAcentral lists this ribosomal RNA (441 nucleotides) under uncultured bacterium. RNAcentral describes it as "partial 16S ribosomal RNA". It matches the Rfam family "Bacterial small subunit ribosomal RNA", at positions 338 to 795 of the family's 1533-position model. The record is from RNAcentral.
CCUACGGGUGGCAGCAGUGGGGAAUAUUGCACAAUGGGGGAAACCCUGAUGCAGCAACGCCGCGUGCGUGAAGAAGUCUUUCGGUAUGUAAAGCUCUAUCAGCAGGGAAGAAGAAAGACGGUACUUGACUAAAAAGCCCCGGCUAAAGACGUGCCAGGAGCCGCGGUAAUACGUAGGGGGCAAGCGUUUACCGGAUUUACUGGGUGUAAAGGGGGCGUAGACGGCUGUGCAAGUCUCAAGUGAAAGCCCGUGGCUCAACCGCGGAACUGCUUGGGAAACUGUAUAGCUUGAGUACGGGAGAGGCAGGCGGAAUGCCUAGUGUAGCGGUGAAAUGCGUAGAUAUUAGGAGGAACACCAGUGGCGAAGGCAGCCUACUGGACAGAAACUGACGCUGAGGCACGAAAGCGUGGGGAGCAAACAGGAUUAGAUACCCGGGUAGUC